Molecule: unclassified non-coding RNA, 217 nt
Filed under: Hevea brasiliensis (rubber tree)
Lineage: Eukaryota; Viridiplantae; Streptophyta; Magnoliopsida; Malpighiales; Euphorbiaceae
Source: RNAcentral
ACAGGUACAACGUUUUGAGCGUUUCUUAGCAAGAGAGAAAGCAAAUCUUCCUGUUCUAAGGGUAUUUGAUGCUUUGAAGAGAUUUGAGCGAAAAAUUAAACUUGGGGCAGCGGAAUUAGCUGCAGCUGAAAAUUGAGGAAGCAAAUAAUUGAAAGAAGUGGUAACACCUGUCACCAACAUCUGCUCCUGUUCAACAGCAAUCAAACUCUACUUAAUU